This 1603-nucleotide long non-coding RNA is filed under the name Sus scrofa (pig). RNAcentral's name for it is "lncRNA (ENSSSCG00055028975.1)". Lineage: Eukaryota; Metazoa; Chordata; Mammalia; Artiodactyla; Suidae. The record is from RNAcentral.
CACAUGUCUUUCCUAUCAAAGUGUCAAUUCCUUUUUUAACUACUGGCAACUUUUCUAUCAUGGGGGGAAUCGUUUGACGUGAUCUUGGAUGAGAACCAGCUUGAGGACGCCUGUGAACACCUGGCCGACUACCUGGAGGCCUACUGGAAGGCCACCCACCCGCCCAGCAGCAGCCUCCCCAACCCUCUCCUCAGCCGUACUCUGGCCACUUCGACCCUGCCCAGGAGCCCGACUCUGGCCUCUCACUCACAGGGUCCUCCAGGCAAUCAGAGGACGGAUAGCUCAGCCCCGGGCUGGUCUGCUUCCCAAGUUGAAGCAGCAGCCUACCCGGAGCCGGUCUGGAAACCCCAGCACUGGUCUUUGUCCUCCACCCAGCACCACAACCACUGCAGUGGUGCCGGCUGCAGCCUCUCCGGGCAGGAGACGCUGGACUCAGAGACACAGGAGAGUCGAGACUUCACCAAGGAAGAUUCCUGCCAUGAGCCCGUGGACCACUGUGCCGCCCACCGUGACCACAGCCACAGGGCGGAGCCCCACAGAGGUGGCAAGCACAGACACCGCGAGUCCCGGCACUGCACCACAACGAGUGCAGCAUACAGCGGAGCCGCCACAAAUUCAAGGACACAGAAGGGCUUGCCAGGAAGUGGAACGAGGCUGGGGACUGCAAUAAGGAUGUUUACAUCCGCCAGUGACGUUCCUCCUUUUGUGUUGUUGGGGGUUGGUUGGUUUUUUGUUUUUUGGUUUUUUUUCGGUUUUUAAAGUCUGGUACACCACCACCCUCACACUCAGUCUGGAGGGCAUCUACAUCGCAGUCAUAUUUGAACUGUAUAUUUUGUACCUACUGCUUAACUAGCAAUAGCAUGAAAUAGGGUAUUAAUAUUCUUUUUUUCCUAAGUGCUACCUGAAUUGUCCUGGAAGGCUGCCAUCCUCUCCUUGCGGACUGGACUAUUUCAACUGUCUGGGCUUGAACAAAAUCUUUUGCCAUCCCUAUGGCAUUAGUAUUUUAAGAUGCAUAGCUGACAUUUUGCAAAAGGUAGUUGAUGUAUCCAGCUGGCCAGGACUGGCCCAUAUUAAAAGUGGGAUUUCUUGAUUCUCGUGAUUUUUAAUAUGUAGGCACCGACCUGAUUUGCAUAUUCAUCCAUGGACCACUGUUUCUUGCUUGUACCUCUGGCUGACUAAAUUUGGGGACAGAUUCAGUCUUGCCUUACACAAAGGGGAUCAUAAAGUUAGAAUCUAUUUUCUAUGUACUAGUAUUAUGUACUGUAUAGACAGUUUGUAAAUGUUAUUUCUGCAAACACCUUCUAAUUAUAUAUAUUAUAUAUAUAUACAUAUAUAUAUAUAUCAGUUUGACCACACUGUUUUAGAGUCUUAAUGCCAAGUCAGCAGAUUUGCUUUAUGAAUUACAGGGACUAGAAACGCCCACCUUCAGGAAAUUUGUAAUACCAUCGUCCAGACACCUAUCCCCGUUCUAGGAGAAAGUCUGUUCAUACUGUAAAUACGUGUGACUGCUUGACUUGAACAGGCUGAUUUCUGAAUGUUUUUCCAUCCUUGUAAAUCAAUGAUUUUGACCGUAAAUGAAGGUGAAUAUAAUCAAACUCCAAAG